Molecule: RNase P RNA, 311 nt
Filed under: Bacteroidota bacterium
Lineage: Bacteria; Pseudomonadati; Bacteroidota
Description: RNase P RNA component class A
Rfam family: Bacterial RNase P class A
About the family: Ribonuclease P (RNase P) is a ubiquitous endoribonuclease, found in archaea, bacteria and eukarya as well as chloroplasts and mitochondria. Its best characterised activity is the generation of mature 5'-ends of tRNAs by cleaving the 5'-leader elements of precursor-tRNAs.
Source: RNAcentral
AAGGUGGGACGAUCUGUCGCGGCCGCAAGGCUGAGGAAAGUCCGCACAGGAAAGGGCACCCGUCUGCGGAAAGCGCAGUGGGGAGUAAUCUUCAGAUUCCGUAACAGAAAACAACCGCCAGAAAUGGCAAGGGUGAAAACGCGGGGUAAGAGCCCACGACGCCGUAUGGCGACAUGCGGCGGGUACGGAACCGGGCCUGCAAGACCAAAUAUACCGGCAAACGGAGACGGCCCGUCGCCUGCCGGGGGGUAGGUUGCGAAGAUAAAUGACAGAUUCAAAAACAGAAAGCGGCUUACGGCCCCGCCUUUUUC